This 460-nucleotide ribosomal RNA is filed under the name uncultured bacterium. Its description in RNAcentral is "partial 16S ribosomal RNA". It matches the Rfam family "Bacterial small subunit ribosomal RNA", at positions 338 to 795 of the family's 1533-position model. The record is from RNAcentral.
CCUACGGGGAGCUGCAGUGAGGAAUAUUGGUCAAUGGCCGUAAGGCUGAACCAGCCAAGUAGCGUGAGGGAAGACUGCCCUAUGGGUUGUAAACCUCUUUUAUGCGGGGAUAAAGGUGUCCACGUGUGGAUGUUUGCAGGUACCGCAUGAAUAAGGACCGGCUAAUUCCGUGCCAGCAGCCGCGGUAAUACGGAAGGUCCGGGCGUUAUCCGGAUUUAUUGGGUUUAAAGGGAGCGUAGGCCGUGCUUUAAGCGUGCCGUGAAAUUUUGUGGCUCAACCAUGAGAGUGCGGCGCGAACUGGAGGCCUUGAGUGCGCGGAAGGCAGGCGGAAUUCGUGGUGUAGCGGUGAAAUGCUUAGAUAUCACGAAGAACCCCGAUUGCGAAGGCAGCCUGCCGCAGCGUUACUGACGCUGAGGCUCGAAAGCGCGGGUAUCGAACAGGAUUAGAUACCCGUGUAGUC